RNAcentral lists this ribosomal RNA (435 nucleotides) under uncultured bacterium. RNAcentral's name for it is "bacterial SSU rRNA". It matches the Rfam family "Bacterial small subunit ribosomal RNA", at positions 29 to 511 of the family's 1533-position model. The record is from RNAcentral.
AACGAACGCUGGCGGCAGGCUUAACACAUGCAAGUCGAACGCACUCUUCGGAGUGAGUGGCAGACGGGUGAGUAACGCGUGGGAAUCUACCCAGCCCUUCGGAAUAGCUCCGGGAAACUGGAAUUAAUACCGAGUACGCCCUACGGGGGAAAGAUUUAUCGGGGUUGGAUGAGCCCGCGUUGGAUUAGCUAGUUGAUGGGGUAAUGGCCUACCAAGGCGACGAUCCAUAGCUGGUCUGAGAGGAUGAUCAGCCACACUGGGACUGAGACACGGCCCAGACUCCUACGGGAGGCAGCAGUUGGGAAUCUUGCACAAUGGGGGAACCCUGAUGCAGCGACGCCGCGUGGAGGAUGAAGGGUCUAGGCCUGUAAACUCCUUUUAUGGGAAAGACUUAGGACGUACCCCAUGAAUAAGGACCGGCUAACUACGUGCCAG